This 485-nucleotide ribosomal RNA is filed under the name uncultured bacterium. Its description in RNAcentral is "partial 16S ribosomal RNA". It matches the Rfam family "Bacterial small subunit ribosomal RNA", at positions 30 to 507 of the family's 1533-position model. The record is from RNAcentral.
AUUGAACGCUGGCGGCAGGCUUAACACAUGCAAGUCGAGCGGGGAAAGGUAGCUUGCUACCUGACCUAGCGGCGGACGGGUGAGUAAUGCUUAGGAAUCUGCCUAUUAGUGGGGGACAACAUCUCGAAAGGGAUGCUAAUACCGCAUACGUCCUACGGGAGAAAGCAGGGGACCUUCGGGCCUUGCGCUAAUAGAUGAGCCUAAUUCGGAUUAGCUAGUUGGUGGGGUAAAGGCCUACCAAGGCGACGAUCUGUAGCGGGUCUGAGAGGAUGAUCCGCCACACUGGGACUGAGACACGGCCCAGACUCCUACGGGAGGCAGCAGUGGGGAAUAUUGGACAAUGGGGGGAACCCUGAUCCAGCCAUGCCGCGUGUGUGAAGAAGGCCUUUUGGUUGUAAAGCACUUUAAGCGAGGAGGAGGCUACCGAGAUUAAUACUCUUGGAUAGUGGACGUUACUCGCAGAAUAAGCACCGGCUAACUCUGUG